This 336-nucleotide long non-coding RNA is filed under the name Hordeum vulgare. RNAcentral describes it as "long non-coding RNA (HVUL_LNC017006)". Lineage: Eukaryota; Viridiplantae; Streptophyta; Magnoliopsida; Poales; Poaceae. The record is from RNAcentral.
GUGCAACGACGGUAUAUCACAAAUGCAUGUUCAGUGUAGUAAAAGGGUAUUUCUUUCAUGUGUGCACAUGUGUUGAGUUGAUAAGUUCAGAACAUUCCUAUCUGUAGCAUAAACUGCUUUAAAACAAUGGUUAGCAGAUCUCAUCCCCAGGUUUAUUGUGCCCGAACCUUAAAUGCUGCAACAAGCAGCCAAAAAAAAACCUGGUAAUUCUUUUGAAAUUUAAAACACCGAGGAUAUAAAAAUAACCUUUGUUAGGCGGAAAGCCCUUCUUUUUUUCCUUCACAUAGUUAACAGAGCCACCAUGUGAAGCCUUAAUCCUCUCCUCCUCUUGUGUGC